Molecule: RNA transcript, 3220 nt
Organism: Theobroma umbraticum
Lineage: Eukaryota; Viridiplantae; Streptophyta; Magnoliopsida; Malvales; Malvaceae
Gene name: Transducin/WD40 repeat-like superfamily protein
Source: RefSeq, a predicted model, not a curated record
AAAAAGAAGUCACGAUUUUCCCUCCAUUUUCUUUUCUCGUUGCAUUUCUAUCUCCUAACAGAAAUUCCACUACAAGCCCAGUGGCCGGGGCAAGUCGGGUUCGUGCCUUGCGGAAAGCUCUCUCGCCCGUUUCUCAGAGAAAGAGAAAGAGACAAUGGAAGAACCCUUAAAAGGCAGGCCAGGAGUUAGGGUCUCUAUAUUUGAUUGUUCAAUAGAGAAUCAUUUUAGGGCGAUGGAUACAAUCUCUAAGCUUUGUGAAGAGCCUGAGAGUGAUGGUCCUAAUGAAACUGAUAUUCAGCGAUUCUCUUCUUCAAUCACUUUCUUAAGGGAAUGGAGGCAUUUCAAUUAUGAACCGAGGAUCAUUAAGUUUGCUAGUGAAGUAGGAGACUCACAGGGUAAAGAUGUUUCUGAUGGCAUACAGUUACCUCAAUUUUCAUCAGCAACUGUUCUCAAGCAACAGGAAGGACUAAAUGGAAACAAAGCAUCUCCAGAAUCCUGCAAGGACUUCGUGAUGUAUGUUGGAGGGUCUGUUUGGGCAUUAGAUUGGUGUCCUAGAGUUCAUGAGAAUCCUAACAGUACUGUCAAAUGUGAGUUCAUCGCUGUCGCUGCUCAUCCUGCUGAUUCUUAUUAUCACAAGAUAGGUACCCCACUUACUGGUAGAGGCAUCAUUCAAAUAUGGUGUAUGCUAAAUGUUGGGGUGAAGGAGGAAGAGGCUCCUCUUUCAAAGAAAAAACCAAAAUGGAGAUCUCAAAAUACAGAAGCCAUGGAGGAGAGCCCAUCAAAGAGGCCUAGAGGAAGACCUAGAAAGAAUCCAAUCGAUGAAUCUCAACCAGAUCAGGUUAAGAGGCCAAAAGGUAGGCCUAGAAAGAAACCAAUUGGUGAAUCUCUUCAUGAUGAUCAGAAUGAACAGUCUUUCCAGCCUCUUGCUGUUCAGUACCCAGAAGGUUCUUUUGAGCCAGUUGCUAUAGACACUGCUCUUGGAAAUACACAGGAAAAUGCUCCAAAUAAGAACCAUCAUGAAAAAGAAAGAGGUGACAAAGAGACAGCAUUUAUGUCUGAUGCAACCCCUACGACUUCUGUGCAGAGUAGAAAAUUGAAAAGUAAGGCGUGCACAAAAACUAAUAGUGAUGGUAAAUGUCUCCCAUUAUUGACUCAAAAUGAAGGAACGGGAUCUUCUUUUACAAUAAACCAACAAAUUCACUACAACUCUGGGCAGGAAGCUAUGGUGCACAAUAAUAUUUUAGAUAGUAAUUUGUUGGAGACCCCAGGUUCUUCCAUUCCAAGGGAUAUUGAACUGCCAAGAACUGUCCUCUGCCUAGCACACAAUGGAAAAGUUGCUUGGGAUGUAAAAUGGCAGCCUUAUGACAUAAAUGGUUGUGAGUGCAAUCAUCGGAUGGGCUAUCUUGCUGUCUUACUGGGAAAUGGAUCUCUGGAAGUGUGGGAGGUUCCUCUUCCUAGUAUGAUCAGAAUUGUUUAUUCAUCUUCACCUAAGCAGGGUACCGAUCCUCGCUUUGUAAAAUUGGAGCCAGUUUUCAAGUGCUCAAAGUUAAAAUGUGGUGAUGUACAGAGCAUCCCUUUGACAGUUGAGUGGUCAACCUCACCUCCACACAAUUACUUACUAGCUGGGUGCCAUGAUGGAAAGGUUGCUUUGUGGAAGUUCUCUGCAAGUGGUUCACCUACAGAUACAAGACCUCUACUUUGUUUUAGUGCAGAUACAGUUCCAAUUAGAUCGGUUGCAUGGGCCCCAUCUGGAAGUGACAUGGAGAGUGCAAAUGUUGUUCUUACUGCUGGACAUGGAGGUCUAAAGUUUUGGGACAUACGUGAUCCAUUCCUUCCCUUGUGGGAUGUCCAUCCAGCACCAAAGUUCAUAUAUAGCUUGGAUUGGCUGCCAGAACCAAGAUGUGUUAUUCUAUCCUUCGAUGAUGGAACAAUGAAAAUGCUCAGCUUAAUUCAGGCAGCAUGUGAUGUACCUGUCACUGGAAAACCUUUCACUGGGACCAAGCAACAAGGACUGCACCUUUAUAAUUGUUCAUCAUUUGCUAUCUGGAAUGUACAAGUGUCACGAUUAACAGGCAUGGUUGCAUAUUGCGGUGCAGAUGGUAAUGUUACCCGCUUUCAGCUUACAUCGAAAGCAGUGGACAAAGAUUUUUCACGAAAUCGAGCCCCACAUUUUGUCUGUGGAUCCUUGACUGAGGAGGAAUCUGCUAUAGUAGUUAACACUCCAUUACCAGAUAUUCCUUUGACGUUGAAGAAGCAGACUAAUGAUUAUGGAGAGGGCCCAAGAUCCAUGCGGGCCUUCUUAACUGAGUCAAAUCAGGCUAAAAAUGCAAAGGAUAAGAAGGCAAAAGUUCCAACUCCUGACAAAAGAACUUUCGCCCUUUGUUAUGGCAAUGAUCGUGGAGUGGAAUCUGAAUCUGAGGAAACCUUAACCUUGGCAGCUCUUAAAGGCAAAAUAAAACAAAAAUCAAAGAGUGACAGGACGAAGAAAGCAGGUGACGAUCAAGCAUUGGCAGUCAGGAUUAAUGAACCGAGAAAUACACAGAAAGAGGAAGCUGGGUAUGAAAUAGAAGUAUUUCCUCCCAAGAUUGUGGCGAUGCAUAGAGUGAGAUGGAACAUGAACAAGGGUAGUGAGAGGUGGCUGUGCUAUGGAGGAGCAGCUGGGAUUGUUCGAUGCCAAGAGAUUAUAGUGCCUGAUGUUGCCAAGAAAUCAGCAAGAAAAAGUUAAAAAGGGCUUAGGAGCUUCAACAUUUUGGCGAGGUCAACUGGCAACGCUGAAGGUGUGCCUUGUUUUACUUGGAUUUGUGAUUAAGGGGGAAGAACAUGGUCAUCCUUAACUUUAUCUUGUACCUCUAUGGUGGCAACAACCACAUUUUCUUCAAAUCAACCUCCCCAGGUCCAAUAUUCACAUCUACAUAGACAUUGUGGUUUUAUCGCAAUCACAGAUGCUUGUUGAGAAGAACAGCUAUGAGGAGCUAACCGGGGAGGGUGACCAAGGAUUUCUCUAAGGUAAUUAAGGAUGCUGAAAACUUUGUAAAUACAAUCAACUUAAUUAGAGUCUUACCCUGUAUGUGACUUUCUUGGAGCCAUCAUACUGGUCUCAGUCGAUAAAAAACACAAUGUAGAUGUUUUUUGUUUUUUAUUGUAAUCUCAACUUAUAAGUCAAUCAAAUGUCAAUUAUAGAACACAUACCUCACACAAUUACUAAUUGAAUUUAAUUACA